RNAcentral lists this ribosomal RNA (432 nucleotides) under uncultured bacterium. RNAcentral's name for it is "partial 16S ribosomal RNA". It matches the Rfam family "Bacterial small subunit ribosomal RNA", at positions 29 to 506 of the family's 1533-position model. The record is from RNAcentral.
AACGAACGCUGGCGGCAUGCCUAACACAUGCAAGUCGAACGAGACCUUCGGGUCUAGUGGCGCACGGGUGCGUAACGCGUGGGAACCUGCCCUUAGGUUCGGAAUAACUCCCCGAAAGGGGUGCUAAUACCGGAUAAUGUCUUCGGACCAAAGAUUUAUCGCCUUUGGAUGGGCCCGCGUUGGAUUAGCUAGUUGGUAGGGUAAAAGCCUACCAAGGCGACGAUCCAUAGCUGGUCUGAGAGGAUGAUCAGCCACACUGGGACUGGGACACGGCCCAGACUCCUACGGGAGGCAGCAGUGGGGAAUAAUGGACAAUGGGCGAAAGACUGAUCCAGCAAUGCCGCGUGAGUGAUGAAGGCCUUAGGGUUGUAAAGCUCUUUUACCCGGGAUGAUAAGGACAGUACCGGGAGAAUAAGCUCCGGCUAACUCCGU